UACGUAGGGUGCAAGCGUUGUUCGGAAUUACUGGGCGUAAAGCGCGUGUAGGCGGCUAGGUAAGUCGGAAGUGAAAGCCCUCGGCUCAACCGAGGAACUGCUUUCGAUACUGCUUAGCUUGAAUGCGGGAGGGGAGAGCGGAAUUCCCGGUGUAGCGGUGAAAUGCGUAGAUAUCGGGAAGAACACCGGUGGCGAAGGCGGCUCUCUGGACCGUGAUUGACGCUGAGACGCGAAAGCGUGGGUAGCAAAUAGG
RNAcentral lists this ribosomal RNA (253 nucleotides) under uncultured bacterium. Its description in RNAcentral is "partial 16S ribosomal RNA". It matches the Rfam family "Bacterial small subunit ribosomal RNA", at positions 524 to 776 of the family's 1533-position model. The record is from RNAcentral.